This 117-nucleotide ribosomal RNA is filed under the name uncultured bacterium. RNAcentral's name for it is "partial 16S ribosomal RNA". It matches the Rfam family "Bacterial small subunit ribosomal RNA", at positions 1369 to 1482 of the family's 1533-position model. The record is from RNAcentral.
CGUUCCCGGGCCUUCGUACACACCGCCCGUCACACCUAUGGGUAGUUGGUUUUACCUUAAGACGGUUUGCUAACCGCAAGGAGGCAGCCGGCCACGGUAAGGUCAGCGACUGGGGUG